UAAAAUGGUGCAUGUAGUUGAAGAAGAAUUUAAUAUAUUUGUCCAGACAGUGCUUUUGCCUUGUUUGUCAGUGACAAUGUAAUUAGACAUAGGAAACCCAGUCAUUGAGACAAAGAAUGUGCUGUUCAUUCUCAGAAUCACCGUUGUUCUAAUUGGCUUAAGCUUUUUUUUAUUUAAAUUGCCUCUGGCAUCUUAGCUUUUGUUCUCUCCCUAAGUAGCGGGAUUCAAGAAAAUGGCUUGAGUGUUAUACUUGGGUGGUAGUAUUGAUUUUGGACAUAAUUAAUCCACCAUUCUUAGUAAAUCAGAGUGCAGUAUCAAAUCAACAAUCAGUUUAUUGCUAAAUGAGAGAAUAAAAGUUUCUUAUUUUGUGAGUGCUGUUAGGUUCACUACGGAAUACUGCUUGAGAGAGAGAGAGAGAGAG
Molecule: unclassified non-coding RNA, 421 nt
Filed under: Hevea brasiliensis (rubber tree)
Lineage: Eukaryota; Viridiplantae; Streptophyta; Magnoliopsida; Malpighiales; Euphorbiaceae
Source: RNAcentral